GUGAAAUACAAAUCGGACUAGGAAUAAGCUGGUUUUCUGCGAAUCUAUUUUAGUAGAUGAUUUAUUUAUUUUAUUAGUAGGUAUAGCACUGAAUAUCUAAUAUCAAUAGAAAGGAGUAUGAAAGUACUUACUUUGGAUAUUUAAUCUCAGAAUAACUAAUAAGUUGUUUGUAAUAAGUUAUCAGACUUCUUGCGAUAAGGUGAGGAGUCGAAGAGAAUUCCCACCC
Molecule: ribosomal RNA, 226 nt
Filed under: Pneumocystis sp. S14
Lineage: Eukaryota; Fungi; Ascomycota; Pneumocystomycetes; Pneumocystales; Pneumocystaceae
Description: partial large subunit ribosomal RNA
Rfam family: Bacterial large subunit ribosomal RNA
Source: RNAcentral